RNAcentral lists this ribosomal RNA (515 nucleotides) under uncultured bacterium. RNAcentral's name for it is "partial 16S ribosomal RNA". It matches the Rfam family "Bacterial small subunit ribosomal RNA", at positions 28 to 523 of the family's 1533-position model. The record is from RNAcentral.
GAUGAACGCUGGCGGCGUGCCUAAUACAUGCAAGUCGAGCGAAUGGAUUAAGAGCUUGCUCUUAUGAAGUUAGCGGCGGACGGGUGAGUAACACGUGGGUAACCUGCCCAUAAGACUGGGAUAACUCCGGGAAACCGGGGCUAAUACCGGAUAACAUUUUGAACCGCAUGGUUCGAAAUUGAAAGGCGGCUUCGGCUGUCACUUAUGGAUGGACCCGCGUCGCAUUAGCUAGUUGGUGAGGUAACGGCUCACCAAGGCAACGAUGCGUAGCCGACCUGAGAGGGUGAUCGGCCACACUGGGAAUGAGACACGGCCCAGACUCCUACGGGAGGAAGCAGUAGGGAAUCUUCCGCAAUGGACGAAAGUCUGACGGAGCAACGCCGCGUGAGUGAUGAAGGCUUUCGGGUCGUAAAGCUCUGUUGUUAGGGAAGAACAAGUGCUAGUUGAAUAAGCUGGCACCUUGACGGUACCUAACCAGAAAGCCACGGCUAACUACGUGCCAGCCGCCGCCGUAA